GCUUUAAUUUGGAGUGCCUUGGGAGUCUUCAUAGAGACACUGACAAGGAAAAGACAGGGCCUUUUAAUAAUAAUGAGAUAUUUCUAGAAUAAACACAAAUAAGAAGUUGGACAGAGAAAAAGUGAGAGGAGCCUAGAAGUAAAACCUAAUUCUAGUUACUUAAGAUACCAAACAAACUCUCCACGAAUUCUAAAGAAACUGACUACCCUCACAUGAACAGAGCAGAGCCCAGGAGUUCUGUAGCUAAAUCACUCCUCAAGAAUCAGGAAUAAGUCGAAAAACCAAAAAAGAAAAAGAAAAAAAAAGAAAAGAAAAGAAAGAAAAAGAAAAAGAAAAAGAAAAGAAAAGAAUCAAAAAUAAACCCUUGACAAAUUGAGUCCAAAGAGGAACAAGGCUGGAAACACGGUUUUUAACCUAUUGCUGCUCUCCUGGUAGAUUCUUGGUUUAUAAGUUAAGAAAAAGUGAAGGCUAGGUCAAGUGUCUCUUGCCUCUUAGCACUCUGGAGGCGUAAGUAGGCUGAUCUCUCUGAGUUCAAGGAUACCCUGGUCUAUAAAGAGAGAAAAGGCAAGAGUAUGUAUUUAACCCAUUCAGACAUUAGUUUUGGAUUUUUGUUUCUCUUGCAAUUUUAUGUCCUGCUCUUUGUAAUUCCUACAACAUACAUUUUAUUUCUAAUGUGGACAACAUUGUUCCAAGGAAAAAUCUACUCAUGGCAUCUCUGAAAUUAUAGUAAGUACAAAAGAGUAACUCAAAUGGCUAUUAAAAAAAGUCAAAAAACAAUGUUUCUUGAAACUCCUGUUCAUUCAUGUGAGAAGGGGCAAGUGUAGUCAGAAGUGGGGGUUUUUGUUUGUUUGUUUGUUUUGUUUUGUUUUGUUUUGUUUUGUUUUCUAUCCUAACUUUAAGACAUCCAUCAUCUCCGGGCAGUGGUGGUGCACACCUUUAAUCCCAGCACUUGGGAGGCAGAGGCAGGUGGAUUUCUGAGUCUGAGACCAGCCUGGUCUACAGAGUGGGUUCCAGGACAGCCAGGGCUACACAGAGAAACCCUGUCUAGAAACAAACAAACAAACAAACAACAAAAAAAACGCAUCCAUGGUCAAGGACUAUGAGAUAUACAGAAAAUGCAUUCAUGGCCAUCACUGAUGAAUGAAAUCCAUAAAAAAAAUACACACUGACAAAUAAAUAGUUUUCUUUUUCCAAAUCUUUCCCUGUAGUCUUAGCCAUUGGCCCCUCUGGUAGCUGAAGUAAAUGGUUGCAGAAACAGACACAGGAAAGUCUGUCUGUAUUUUCUUUGUGAUUUAAUUCAUUGAUUUAUGAAGCACUACACAACAACUAAACACACACCAUUGUUUGUAAAAUCCCAGGUACCACCCUUCUCUAUGCAUAUUCACUCCUUUGACUCCCAACACCAAUCCCACUGAUAUAGGUUCAGGGACAACUGUGGAUUCAGGUAGAGAGAGUGCUCUGAUGACCACAGGGAGGCACAAGAAUAUAAAGUCGGUCAAAUGACUUGAAAGCCCCUGGACUUCAGUCUCCUGGCUGUCAUUAAAACUUAGGGCACAGAAGCACUUGUAUACAAUGUGGAGAAAGUCCUCUCUCAGAAGAAGCUGUCGUGACUUGCACUAGUCUAGUCCCCAGACACAGUGUUAGCAGGUGGAAUGUUCUGAGAAAACCUGAAGCCCCCUGUGCUUCUGACUUAUCUCCUAAGAGACCCAGCUUGCAAAUUCUUCUUUGUAUAAUUCAAGUGUUUGAAAAUGCAUUGAUUUUAAGUGCAUUUGUAAAAACAAAGCAACUGUAAUAACAAGUCUGGAGGGUGCAUGAUGCUUUAGUUCUUCUUCUUUGCAUCCUUUCUUCUUUUCUUCUGAAUGAUGCUAGAAAUCCCUAGUUGAGGCCAUAGCAGUUAUCAAAUGAAUUUGUGUACAUAUGUACAGAGAUUUUUUAUUGCUGUUCAUUUGUUUCUUUAUUUUUUCUUCUAUCUUAAUUUUUUUUGGAUAGUGCUCCUUUAAGAAGCUCUAAUUCUUUCUCCCCUACUACUAUAAGCUUUGAAAGUAAAAAGGCAUGUGAGGGGACAACAACACACAAAAAGCCAGAUCUGACAGUGCUGAUUCCUGUAUUCCUUAACUGAGCUGCAGUUAUUUGAGAAUCUUGGGACCUAAGGCAUUGGUGAAUAUUUUCAUAAACAAGAUACUUAAGGGAUAAGACUCAAUUCUAAAUAUGAGAUUCUGUUAUCUUUCAUAUACAUCUUAGACAUAAAAUCUACAGGCAAUUUUUAAGUGUGCUCAAGCUUCGACUACAACAGAAAAUCAGGUGUGGGUUGUCAUGCUUGUAAUAUCAUUUGGACUCUCAAAUUUCUCAGAAUUAGAGUAUUUAAUGUGAGACACUGAUUUCCUGUUUCUCCUUAAAUAAAGAUGCAAUUCUGAAGUUUCCUUUCAACUCUUACACGCUCUUCAUAAUUUUUUGUAAUACUCUCUGGAAUCUGAAAUACGUACUUAAAAAUGCAAAAUAGCAAUGUAAAAUGUGUUGGGUGUAUUAUGGAGACUUACAAUUCUAAAUAAGUUGCACAUGAAAAUCAUUUUAGUUAUUGUCUUAGCCACUGUUCUAUUACAGUAAAGAGAGACCAUGACCAAGGCAACUUUUACAAAAUAAAGCAUUUAAUC
This 2651-nucleotide long non-coding RNA is filed under the name Mus musculus (house mouse). RNAcentral's name for it is "long non-coding RNA chr4:20779352-20782003". The record is from RNAcentral. Lineage: Eukaryota; Metazoa; Chordata; Mammalia; Rodentia; Muridae.